GACGAACGCUGGCGGCGUGCUUAACACAUGCAAGUCGAACGGAAAGGCCCGGCGUUUGUGGGGUGCUCGAGUGGCGAAGGGGUGAGUAACACGUGAGUAACCUGCCCUUGACUGUGGGAGAACUUCAGGAAACUGGGGCUAAUACCGGAUAGAAUCUCCUGCUGCAUGGUGGGGGUUGGAAAGAGUCGGCGGUUGGGGAUGUACUCGCGGCGUAUCAGCUUGUUUGUGAGGUAGGGGCUUACCAAGGCUUUGACGGGUAGCCGACCUCAGCGGGUGAUCGGCGACCCUGGAACUGAGACGCGGUCCAUGCUCCUACGGGAGGCAGCAGUAGCGAAUCGUCCGCAAUGGGCGAGAGCCUUACGGAGCAACGCGGCGUGAGUUAUGACGGUCUUCGGUGCGUAAUACUCUGUUAUGAGUUAUGAACAUAUGUGGAAGGAACUGUGCACUGCGUGACGGUACCUGAUCAGAAAGCCCCGGCUAACUACGUG
Molecule: ribosomal RNA, 488 nt
Filed under: uncultured bacterium
Lineage: Bacteria
Description: partial 16S ribosomal RNA
Rfam family: Bacterial small subunit ribosomal RNA
Source: RNAcentral